UAAGCAGAAGGUUUAGAUAUAUGUUUAAACUUAUGAAACUUAAAGAACGUGAAUUUUAAAGAGGCUUUAUGAAGAAAGUAUUUUAAGCUUUUCCAGUAAUUUAAGAUGAUACCGGGGAAGGUUUUCCGGUUUAUCCCGGAGGGCUUGUAGCUCAGUUGGUUAGAGCGCGCGCUUGAUAAGCGUGAGGUCGGAGGUUCAAGUCCUCCCAGGCCCACCAAUUUAUGCUCGCUUUUUUCUUGUUUAAGAGUAUGAAGCUUAUUAAAGCCUCUACAAUCUUUUUUCCUUGUUAAGGAUUUAAUUUUAUUAUCUAAGGAUUGUUUAGUGCAUUUAUUCCGUUAAAUUUGUCAAAGAGGAUUUUAAGAUGUCUUCAAAGAUGUAGACAAAUUUGAAUGAUAGGAAUCGA
RNAcentral lists this unclassified non-coding RNA (403 nucleotides) under uncultured Bartonella sp. Its description in RNAcentral is "partial 16S-23S ribosomal RNA intergenic spacer". The stretch from base 141 to 214 matches the Rfam family "tRNA". Lineage: Bacteria; Pseudomonadati; Pseudomonadota; Alphaproteobacteria; Hyphomicrobiales; Bartonellaceae. The record is from RNAcentral.